UUUUGUUUAGUUAUGUAAUGUUAAGUUGUAACCCUUAAUUGAAAGUAACUAAGCUUAUUGUUGAGCGCCAUUUAUCGUAACUCAAAAAUAAUAAUAAUAAAAUAAAAAAUAAAAAAAAAUUUAAUUGAUUGAGGGUAAGUAAUAGUGUGACUGAGAGUGAGAGUUACUUAUGAUUCGAGGGUUAUAAAAUAACAAUAUGAAUAUUCUUAUGGAUUUAAAAAUCUUACUUGAUAAUAUUUCUUUAGUUGUUAAAAAAACUUCAGUGAUAAAAUUAAUAAAAUGAUAAAUAAAGUAACACAAAUUUUUAGUUCACAAAUCAAGCAGGUAAGAAUUUCGACAACGAGUAUCGCAAUAUACAAGUAACGAUAUUUGGAGCACGAAAUGAACAGGCCAGAAUAAGGUUUGUAAAAUAACGUGAUCAACGUGAGGAUAAAUUGAAGACUAUCAUCCACAGAUAAAAAUGAGUAUGAUAAAUAAAGAUUGGUUGAAUGGUAUGAAAAAUAAACGUAGAAUGUGUGUGUCUGAUCUUAAAAUAGGAGUAGAAUACAAGGUUCUGGGACUGUACGUGAUAAAAUCAAAAUACUCGAAUGAGACUCCAGUGGCUGAAGUAAAACUUGAUAAUGAACCGUCAUUUCAAGUUUAUUUACCCGCAAGAUUUACAUUCACUCGUGAAGAUUUAAACAAAGGAAUCGAUGAAAAUC
Long non-coding RNA from Daktulosphaira vitifoliae (grape phylloxera), 701 nucleotides. RefSeq lists it as uncharacterized. The record is from RefSeq and is a predicted model, not a curated record. Lineage: Eukaryota; Metazoa; Arthropoda; Insecta; Hemiptera; Phylloxeridae. The transcript has 3 exons.